RNAcentral lists this ribosomal RNA (535 nucleotides) under uncultured bacterium. Its description in RNAcentral is "bacterial SSU rRNA". It matches the Rfam family "Bacterial small subunit ribosomal RNA", at positions 355 to 896 of the family's 1533-position model. The record is from RNAcentral.
UGGGGAAUCUUGCACAAUGGGCGAAAGCCUGAUGCAGCGACGCCGCGUGGGGGAUGAAGCUUUUCGGAGUGUAAACCCCUUUCGACUGGGACGAAACCCCGCAAGGGAUUGACGGUACGGGUAUAAGAAGCCCCGGCUAACUACGUGCCAGCAGCCGCGGUAAUACGUAGGGGGCCAGCGUUGCUCGGAAUUACUGGGCGUAAAGGGUCCGUAGGCGGUGCGGCAAGUCGGAAGUGAAAUCUCGAGGCUUAACUUCGAGGCUGCUCCCGAAACUGCCGUGCUCGAGUGCGAGAGAGGCGAGUGGAAUUGCAGGUGUAGCGGUGAAAUGCGUAGAGAUCUGCAGGAACACCCGAAGCGAAAGCGGCUCGCUGGAUCGCAACUGACGCUGAGGGACGAAAGCUAGGGGAGCAAACAGGAUUAGAUACCCUGGUAGUCCUAGCCCUAAACCAUCAGAACUGGGCGUGAGCCCUGUACGGGGCUCGUGCCGUAGCUAACGCGAUAAGUUCUGCGCCUGGGGAGUACGGUCGCAAGGCUG